AUUGAUUUCUUUAACAUGUUUUUAGUAUUGACCACCUGCCAGUGAUUGAAAUUUGGAGUUUCUUUAAGAAAGUCUUGUCUAUUAGGGACAACAGAUGUUGACGGACUCUUCAUAGAGUGUGGUAAAGAGAAAUGCUGUAUGACAUCAGAUACUAAAGUUAAUAAAGUUGGAAGACAUUUGCUCAGUUGAAUCACUUCAAUGCCUUCAACCCGUCCUCAUCCAGAGGGACAACUGAGCCAUCAGAGUGGAGCCUUAGAGGAGUCAGGAUUUCAGCUGCGGCAUCGACACACCGGAAUGACCCGGAAACUUGCUCCUAGCCGAAGUAGGACGUGA
Molecule: long non-coding RNA, 333 nt
Filed under: Cavia porcellus (domestic guinea pig)
Lineage: Eukaryota; Metazoa; Chordata; Mammalia; Rodentia; Caviidae
Description: lncRNA (ENSCPOG00000040383.1)
Source: RNAcentral